This 822-nucleotide ribosomal RNA is filed under the name Vibrio sp. MMRF547. RNAcentral describes it as "bacterial SSU rRNA". It matches the Rfam family "Bacterial small subunit ribosomal RNA", at positions 225 to 1039 of the family's 1533-position model. The record is from RNAcentral. Lineage: Bacteria; Pseudomonadati; Pseudomonadota; Gammaproteobacteria; Vibrionales; Vibrionaceae.
AUAUGCCUAGGUGGGAUUAGCUAGUUGGUGAGGUAAUGGCUCACCAAGGCGACGAUCCCUAGCUGGUCUGAGAGGAUGAUCAGCCACACUGGAACUGAGACACGGUCCAGACUCCUACGGGAGGCAGCAGUGGGGAAUAUUGCACAAUGGGCGCAAGCCUGAUGCAGCCAUGCCGCGUGUGUGAAGAAGGCCUUCGGGUUGUAAAGCACUUUCAGUCGUGAGGAAGGUAGUGUAGUUAAUAGCUGCAUUAUUUGACGUUAGCGACAGAAGAAGCACCGGCUAACUCCGUGCCAGCAGCCGCGGUAAUACGGAGGGUGCGAGCGUUAAUCGGAAUUACUGGGCGUAAAGCGCAUGCAGGUGGUUUGUUAAGUCAGAUGUGAAAGCCCGGGGCUCAACCUCGGAAUAGCAUUUGAAACUGGCAGACUAGAGUACUGUAGAGGGGGGUAGAAUUUCAGGUGUAGCGGUGAAAUGCGUAGAGAUCUGAAGGAAUACCGGUGGCGAAGGCGGCCCCCUGGACAGAUACUGACACUCAGAUGCGAAAGCGUGGGGAGCAAACAGGAUUAGAUACCCUGGUAGUCCACGCCGUAAACGAUGUCUACUUGGAGGUUGUGGCCUUGAGCCGUGGCUUUCGGAGCUAACGCGUUAAGUAGACCGCCUGGGGAGUACGGUCGCAAGAUUAAAACUCAAAUGAAUUGACGGGGGCCCGCACAAGCGGUGGAGCAUGUGGUUUAAUUCGAUGCAACGCGAAGAACCUUACCUACUCUUGACAUCCAGAGAACUUUCCAGAGAUGGAUUGGUGCCUUCGGGAACUCUGAGACAGGU